UGAACGCUGGCGGCGUGCUUAACACAUGCAAGUCGAACGAACCUUCGGGUUAGUGGCGGACGGGUGAGUAACGCGUGGGAAUCUGCCCUCAGGAGGGGGAUAACGGUUGGAAACGGCCGCUAAUACCCCAUAUGCCGAGAGGUGAAAUGAAUUUCGCCUGAGGAUGAGCCCGCGUCUGAUUAGCUAGUUGGUGAGGUAAGAGCUCACCAAGGCAUCGAUCAGUAGCUGGUCUGAGAGGAUGAUCAGCCACACUGGGACUGAGACACGGCCCAGACUCCUACGGGAGGCAGCAGUGGGGAAUUUUCCGCAAUGGGCGAAAGCCUGACGGAGCAACGCCGCGUGAGGGAUGAAGGCCUCUGGGCUGUAAACCUCUUUUAUCAAGGAAGAAGAUCUGACGGUACUUGAUGAAUAAGCCACGG
Molecule: ribosomal RNA, 419 nt
Filed under: uncultured cyanobacterium
Lineage: Bacteria; Bacillati; Cyanobacteriota
Description: bacterial SSU rRNA
Rfam family: Bacterial small subunit ribosomal RNA
Source: RNAcentral